Molecule: non-coding RNA, 4433 nt
Organism: Caretta caretta (loggerhead turtle)
Lineage: Eukaryota; Metazoa; Chordata; Testudines; Cheloniidae
Source: RefSeq, a predicted model, not a curated record
CAACUUGAGGAACAAAUCCCAGGCUGGAUGGCUCCAGGGGGCUCAAGUUGCCAGAAAGGAACACGGCAUAGUGGAAACUAUGGAUGGUAAGAGAGGUUGCACAGCCGUGCUGGAUGCCAAAGAGUUGUGUGCUGUGCAACGGGGAACCAAGGUCACGGAUGAGAGGAGACCCCUCAAGAGAGGGUCCACUUUAAAAAGGAACUCCACUGAUCGAUGUUUUCACUUCCGUAAGGCUCCCAUGUGUCUGAGGAGAUGUUCAGCUUGAAUGGACAGGAGGGGAGGGCAAGAAAGAGCAGCUAGAAGAGGUUCCAGAGAAAGAUUGGGGAAAUGUGUGAAGCAGAGAUAUGAAGAGGAACACGUCACACACUACAAGCUGAAAUCCAAAGGGGGCGGUGAGGAGAGAAGAAAAAGAGAGAGAGAGAUACAUUGAAGCCUCAUCACAGGAUUGCCCUCUGGAGUCCAGAAGUAAGGAGCUGAAGGUCCAGCUAGCCUCCAUCAUGGGUGUUCUCCCAGUUCUCCUCUUCUUCCUCCUCCUGCUCAACUGUGGUUGUCAGAAGGACUUUCUGAAUCAGCUUCAGAGGUGGAACUACAGAGAAGGAGCAGACAAAGUCAACAUCCACGGCAUUAACAGUGUCACUCGUAUGCUGGAGAAAUGGGGGAACAGCAUCUUCUGGCAAAUGAAACACUCCUUACUGAGUCACCCUAACAGUCUGCUGCCCGAGUUCUCCAGCCUCCAUCCCGUCUCCGAGGCACUUGAUGACCUUCUGAAGGAAGUACGGUCAAUGAAGAAGAGGCUGGAAGAGCUGAACGAACGACUCAGUGUUAUGAGCAGGGCCUUCUUUCCUACCCGAUUCAAUGCCCUGAGGCGCCAGAGGCUCAGCAGUAUGCAGCUGAGAAGACUCCCUUUUCAGAGGAGGAGGAUGUAUAUCCGCAGGAGAGUUCAGCGGAAUUAGCUCUUUUCCAAAAAAACAACAACAAACAUUUCUAUCUUUCUCUUUUCUGCAAGUCUUUAUCAAUGAGAGACUAUUAGACUGAAUAAAGUAACACAUGUAUGAGUGAGGGUCUGGAUGCCUGAGGAGACUGGCAAUUAUGGGUUAUGGAGCUGCCUUGCAAAUCUAGGUCAUUGGGUCAAAUCCCGUGCAGCUCUGUGAUGAUGGCUGUGUGGUGACCCAUGUGUGAUGAGUUGUUGAUCUCAAUCCAGUUAAGCGUUUGUAUAUUUCCCCUAUACAGUCGUCCCCACAUUUCCUUUGGAUUGCCAACUAUAUCCCUUCUAUACAGAUCAGAUGCCUUUUUCUCUUUAUCCGACUUCACAGAGAACUAUUGACUCAGGGGUUGGGGGAUCACGUAUACAGAUGGAUACUUAGGCCAAAAUUUUCAAAUGUUAGGCACCUAACUUCACAUUUAGGUACCAAAAUAAAAGUGAUUUGAUUUUCAAUGUGCUAAGCAUUUGACUUCAGGGAGAAUUGUGCUUGCUUAGCUCCACUGAAAACAAACCAGACCACUUUUAUUUAGAUGCAAAACAUUAAGCAGCUACAUUUUAAAAUUUUGGCCUCAAUCUAUAAACUGUACAUAUAAAGCAUGUUCUGUUGAUAAGCAGGUGUUUUUAAAGAGUGUGAGGGAGGAGGGCCUUCACAAGGCAUUGGAUAACAGGGAACAGUGCCUACAUUAUCAAACAUUGCUAGUGGUUUAGGAUGCCUCAGUUUUGGGGGGCCCACUUUAAGACACUGUAUGGGGCUUGUUUUUUGAUAAAGUGCAGAGCACCCACCUUCUGAAAAUCAGGUCCCUUUUAGGCAUCUAUUUAGGGGUGCAAAAAUCACUAAUCACUUUUGCAAUGUAGGCCCUGAUCUUGACAGCAGUCUUUAAAACACUGCACUGCCAACCAAGCCACUUGGGCCCAGAUCCUCAAAUGUAUGUAGGCACCUCACUCACACUGAUUUCAGUGGGAUUUAGGCUCCUAAAUACAGUUGAGGAUCUGGGCCUUGGAGACCAGGAGCCAGAUUUUCAGAAGCAUUUAGGCUCCUAAAGAUGCAGAUAGGUGCCUAGUUGGAUUCUCAGAAGUGCCUCCGUAGGUUAGGUGCCGAACUCACCACGUUCCAGUCUGUCCCCAGAUGAUUAACCAAGGAAUUCUGAGAGGAGCUUUCCUGGUUCAGUUCUAGCACAGAUCUAUCACUCAGUGAGCAUAUGAUACAUACUCUUGUAACCACUAUAUUCAGUUUUGUUUGAUUUAAAUGUGAAUUUCUGGACCAGUCAGAUAGUUAGCAUGCUUAGCUCUUAUGAGAGAGACGCUGGUUUGAUUCAGGAGAAAAUGGAAGAUUUUCUUUCCAGUAAACCUCUGUGAAGUACUUCUCCUCUUAAGGCCUUACAUCUCAGGAGUUUCCUUGACUCACAGGACUUCCCUUUUGAAGUUCAUCAGUGAAACUCCAUUUGAAUAGCAGAAGGAAGUUGUAGGAAAAUGAUGCACGCUCUCCUUCCCUUGUCACCCUCCCUGCAGUGUUUCUGCUCUUGCUAGCUUUGGGAAGAAAGUGAUCCCUGGUCUACACUAGGAGUUGAGGUCGAAUUUAGCAGUGUUAAAUCGAUUUAACCCUGCACCCGUCCACACGAUGAAGCCCUUUUUUCUGACUUAAAGGGCUCUUAAAAUCGAUUUAUUUACUCCACCCCCGACAAGGGGAUUAGCGCUUAAAUCGGCCUUGCCGGGUCAAAUUUGGGGUACUGUGGACGCAAUUAGAUGGUAUUGGCCUCCGGGAGCUAUCCCAGAGUGCUCUAUUGUGACCGCUCUGGACAGCACUCUCAACUCAGAUGCACUGGCCAGGAAAACAGGAAAAGGCCCACAAACUUUUGAAUUUCAAUUUCCUGUUUGCAUGGUCACCUGCAGCUUGCCACACUGGCCAGAACUGAUCAGCAGAGGUGACCAUGAUGGAGUCCCAGAAUCGCAAAAGAGCUCCAGCAUGGACUGAACGGGAGGUACGGGAUCUGAUCGCUGUAUGGGGAGAGGAAUCCGUGCUAUCAGAACUCCGUUCCAGUUUUCGAAAUGCCAAAACCUUUGUCAAAAUCUCCCAGGGCAUGAAGGACAGAGGCCAUAACAGGGACCCAAAGCAGUGCCGCGUGAAACUUAAGGAGCUGAGGCAAGCCUACCAGAAAACCAGAGAGGCAAAUGGCUGCUCCGGGUCAGAGCCCCAAACAUGCCACUUCUAUGAUGAGCUGCAUGCCAUUUUAGGGGGUUCAGCCACCACUACCCCAGCUGUGUUGUUUGACUCCUUCAAUGGAGAUGGAGGCAACACGGAAGCAGGUUUUGGGGACGAAAAAGAAGAAGAUGAUGAAGUUGUAGAUAGCUCACAGCAAGCUAGCGGAGAAACCGGUUUUCCCGACAGCCAGGAACUGUUUCUCACCCUGGACCUGGAACCAGUACCCCCCGAACCCACCCAAGGCUGCCUCCCGGACCCACCAGGCGGAGAAGGGACCUCCACUGCAUGUGUUUCAAGGAUCACAGGAUCUUCUCCUUCCCAGAGGCUAAUGAAGAUUACAAGGUGAAAAAAAUGCACUUGUGAUGAAAUGUUCUCCGAGCUCAUGCUGUCCUCCCACACUGACAGAGCACAGACGAAUGCGUGGAGGCAGACAAUGUCAGAGUGCAGGAAAGCACAAAAUGACCGGGAGGAGAGGUGGCGGACUGAAGAGAGUAAGUGGCGGGCUGAAGAGAGGGCUGAAGCUGAAAGGUGGCGGCAGCAUGAUGAGAGGAGGCAGGAUUCAAUGCUGAGGCUGCUGGAGGAUCAAACCAAUACGCUGCAGCGUAUGGUUGAGCUGCAGCAAAGGCAGCAGGAGCACAGACUGCCACUACAGCCCCUGUGUAACCAACCGCCCUCCUCCCCAAGUUCCAUAGCCUCCUCACCCAGAUGCCCAAGAACAUGGUGGGGGGAGCCUCCGGCCACCCAGCAACUCCACCCCAGAGGAUUGCCCAAGCAACAAAAGACUGGCGUUCAAUAAGUUUUAAAGUUUUAAACUUUUAAAGUGCUGUGUGGCCUUGUCCUUCCCUCCUCCACCACCCCUCCCUGUGCUUCUCUCCUCCACCACCCCUCCCAGGCUACCUUGGCAGUUAUCCCCCUAUUUGUGUGAAGAAUUAAUAAAGAAUGCAUGAAUGUGAAGCAACAAUGACUUUAUUGCCUCUGCAAGUGGUGAUUGAAGGGAGGAGGGGAGGGUGGUUAGCUUACAGGGAAGUAGAGUGAACCAAGGGGCGGGGGAGUUUCAUCAAGGAGAAACAAACAGAAUUUUCACACUGUAACCUGGCCAGUCAUGAAACUGGUUUUCAAAGCUUCUCUGAUGCGCACUGCACCCUCCUGUGCUCUUCUAACCGCCCUGGUGUCGGGCUGCGCGUAACCAGCAGCCAGGCGAUUUGCCUCAACCUCCCACCCUGCCAUAAACGUCUCCCCCUUACUCUCACA